CUCACAUAAAUAUAAGACCGCCUAUGUAAUAUUUUACCAGAAGUCAGAAAAAUGAGCAACAGCUUAGUCGCAUUUUUAAUUACUCUUUAUGUGUUCGGAUUUUUUCAAGUCGACGGUAUAAGACUUUUCUGCGGAUCAAAAUUACAACCGUAUAAUACAGACAGUGAAGAAUGUAUAGAAGGACAAGUAGUCAGCAAGACUUUACAAAGUACAACACAAAGCGGAUUGGCUGAAACAAAUUCAGUUUUUCAAACAGCAGAUCCCAUAAGAAACAGAGUCCGUCGUCGUCAUUGCAGAGAUAAGGACGAUAUAUUGAGCUGUAACGAUAAAAUACACUGUGGGCGUCACGAAGGUUAUAAAUGUUGUGGUUUUGAACGUUACAACCCAAACAUCCAAACAUGCUGUCAACAAUCAAGUGCCAUGUAUAGAAUACAUAAUGACAGACCCGAGGAAAGUCACAUGUGAGUAAAAUAAAAUAAAAAAAUAAAUCACGUGAACUGUGUUAUAGAAAACAUGUGAAGUACAGUGUUAGGAAAAUUCACUCUCGAAUGAAUGAAUAAACAAAUAGGACAAUAAACUAUCAAUAUCAAAUGUGGCUUUAAGAGUCAAUACUUAUCUCGUGUUUCGAAAUAAAAAUAACUACAUAACAUUUAGUCUCUAUCUUUAUAAUUUUCUUUUGCUUUUUCAUCUCAUUACUAUUCUUCUUACAUUUCAAAAAUAAAUAAGUCAUCAUACUUUUUAAAAGGGAUUUAUUUUUUAGUUGCUGUCAGUUGAAUGUACAUAUACGAGGAUCAAAAAGCAUACCAUGUGCGCACGUGACUAAUAAUGAUAUGUUCUUGCAAAAACCAAAACAUCUGAACAACCUUAAAAAAGACCAAAGGCUAUGCAGGGACUCGUUUUAUGUCUUCAGAAUCGAUUUAAGGAGUGGAGGACGCGGCGUCACGGCUGUUGUACGAAUGUGGGACUGGAAACCUUCAAAGAAAAAACUUAGAUUGAAAAAGUCUGGAGCGUUAAAAAAGAAAAUGCGUAUAAAGUUUGAUAAACACAGCAAACCCAAAAACAUUGCUAAAAAUAGUUUUCUGGUAGUUUCUAAAUAUAACUAUAUAGAGGAUUCCAAUCUAUAUUUAAAAGCAAAUGAUGUUUUGUACAGGAGUCCUAAAAAGCACAAAAACAUGAUAAGAAUAUUGCGGAAAAUUCACAACAAAUGUAAAAAACUAGAACUCUUACGUGGGAAAUAAGAAUUAUUGUUUUUAUGUAUUGUAGCACUGUAAGUAAGUUCAUACUUUUAGACUAUGCUAUAUACGUGUGCGUUCUGCGAAAUAUUUGACACCACUCGUCAUUUGAUACACAUUUAGUAUUAUAGAAUGUUAAAAUGGCAUUUUUACAAGACAUAUUUGUCGUACAUAAGCAAAAUAAAUCGCCUUGGCUUUUGACUUCAUCAGAGUGAUCUACGAUGGAAUGUGUCAUGCCUGGAACUUAAAUACAUAUUUUGAGUUGACACUAACAACGGACUUUAUCAAUAUUUUCAAUGUUACAAGCGUGACUCAAUUUUCUUUUUACAUUUUGUACUUUAAUAAGUGUCAUUAAUGAAGUUGGUGCUAGGGACGUGAGAGAUGUUGCACUUUUGUGUAGUAAAUAGAUUAAUCAAGCCAGCAAAGUCUUUCAAACAGUUGAUAGUUUUCUCCACCUACAGGUUGUUUCGAGAAAAUUAUAACAAUCAUAGCAGUACACAAACAGCUUAAUAAUAUGUUUUUGAUAAACAGAAGUAUAAUUAAAUAGAUAAUUUGAUAAAUAAAUGAAUUAGUUGGAUUGUUGUUUGGUUGGUUGUUUAAUUAAGAUCGAUUGAUUGGUUGAUUGAUUGAUUGAAAUUUAGAAUAAUAAAAAUAUUGUUACGUUAGAAAUAUCAAUAAUAGUGUAGUGUAUUGUUUUAUUUCGAUACGUACUCAUUCAAGUCAAUAUCAAGUAAAAUUUAAUGCUGUCGUACGAAUGCAAAAUUUAUCUAAUGAUGUGUAAUUUAAACUUGUUGUACUAUAAAUCUGAGAUAUGGUUAAUAAACAUUGUGAUAACA
This is a long non-coding RNA of Ruditapes philippinarum (Manila clam), 2068 nucleotides long. RefSeq lists it as uncharacterized. The record is from RefSeq and is a predicted model, not a curated record. The transcript is spliced from 4 exons. NCBI's taxonomy places the organism in Eukaryota, Metazoa, Mollusca, Bivalvia, Venerida, Veneridae.